GGAGAAUUAGCUCAGCUGGGAGAGCAUCUGCCUUACAAGCAGAGGGUCGGCGGUUCGAACCCGUCAUUCGCCACCC
This 76-nucleotide transfer RNA is filed under the name Staphylococcus aureus. RNAcentral describes it as "tRNA-Val". It matches the Rfam family "tRNA". From Rfam's summary of the family: Transfer RNA (tRNA) molecules are approximately 80 nucleotides in length. Their secondary structure includes four short double-helical elements and three loops (D, anti-codon, and T loops). Lineage: Bacteria; Bacillati; Bacillota; Bacilli; Caryophanales; Staphylococcaceae. The record is from RNAcentral.